UAGACACUAAAGCAGACCAUGUUAAUCACCCCUAAAUAAAGGACCAAACAAUAUUGAACCCUGCCCUAAUGUCUUCGGUUGGGGCGACCACGGAGAAAUAAAAAACCCCCGCGUGGAACAGGGAUACUAUCCCCACAAUUAAGAGCCUCCGCUCUAUCAAACAGAACCUCUGACCAAUCAGAUCCGGCAAUGCCGACCAACGGACCAAGUUACCCUAGGGAUAACAGCGCAAUCCCCUUUUAGAGCCCAUAUCGACAAGGGGGUUUACGACCUCGAUGUUGGAUCAGGACAUCCUAAUGGUGCAGCCGCUAUUAAG
Molecule: ribosomal RNA, 316 nt
Filed under: Ctenochaetus strigosus (spotted surgeonfish)
Lineage: Eukaryota; Metazoa; Chordata; Actinopteri; Acanthuriformes; Acanthuridae
Description: partial large subunit ribosomal RNA
Rfam family: Bacterial large subunit ribosomal RNA
Source: RNAcentral